CACGUUCACAGACUGGGCUGCUCCGGUAUAUAAUGGUAAACGUGCUCACAGGAACAGAUUUAUGAAAUAAGUAAUAGAAAUUUUGGAGCAUUUGAAAUUUAACUUGUAUUAUUAAUACAUUUUAAAAGAAACAGGAUUGUUCUUAAGUUUAGACCAUCUCUGUGCUACCCCUUUGCAUGUGUCUCACUGUACACGAUUAAUUUUUUCUGUUUUUCUUUUUCUCUCAGGUUGCUGGUUGUGGAAUUUGGAGCUGCGGAGAUUUGAGCUGUGCUCCAAAAGUGCAUGUUGAAGGUACCUAAUGCUUUCAUAUUAUUUACUUUUUCCUUAAUACGCAAUUUUACAUUUUGAAUUCUCUUAUUUGGUCUUUUAGGUUAUCACCACAGUUCCACUGCUGUCCACAUUCAUGAGCAGUCUUGACCAGUACUCUGACCAGUUGAUGAAGAUUCUACGAAAAAAAGGAGGGGAAACAGCGCGGCGGAUGACAGCAGCGUUGUCUGCAAUUUCACAGAGUUCCCGAAUCGAAGUGAAGCGUGAAUGCAUCCUUAAAGCUGUGAUUAUAUACCUGAAUGAGAACCCUGAAAAUCUCAUCAAAGAGUACAUGGAUUUCAACGUGAUGGAAGCUGAAGAGCUUGAGAGGAUGGAUUUGGCGUGUUUAUAAAAUAAUCCAUGAAGGAGCACAGCCUGAUUACUCCCUUGAAGAUGUUGGCAUCAUUAUCGAGAGAUGCACAGUCUUGCAGGAUCUUCACGAUGUGACGAGCGGGUGUGCACUUUUGUUUGGGCUAAUUUACUGCCUCAAUCUGAGUUACCCAAAGCCACUUCGCUACACAUUUGAGUUCUUCCAGAAGGUGCUCAUGGGACUGGAAGACAAAAAACUGUCUAACAAAAUACAAGUGCUGAAGAACAAACUCUGCCAAAAGGAGACGCAAUGACUCUUCUAGAUUGAAAUGUCUCCCAAAAUAAGUGCUCUGUUUUACUAUUUAAAAGUUUAUAAAUAUAUAUAUGUUGAUCCUUGUUUGUAAAUAUUUUGUCAUAGUUUUUAAUAUUUAGGAGAUUUACUCUUUUGAUUGUGGAAAAGAAAACAUAAUUCAGAAACUGAGUUUUUGGAACUGAGGACAAAAUUACGCAGAUGGAUAUAUUUUCUUGUUUCACAACAUUUUCUUCAGUUUGAGUAGCUGUGGUAAUUCUGCAGACUGUAGCCAUUGCAGACCUACAACUGUAGAUCCUGAAAUCAUCCUACUCCUCACUACACUGUCACUUAGUUGAAACUGGAAAGUUGUUUCAGAUGUUUACAUUUUAUUUUACACACUUCAUUUAAUGUUGCAUUAUGCAGUGUUGUUUCCCUGUUUAAGCUUUGCCUCAUUGAAGGCUUUUGUUCAAGUUGUUAAAGCAACACAAUUUUUUUUUUUUUUUUUUUUUUUUGUAUUUACACUUCAUAUUAGUUCUCGUGUACCAGGUUUCCAUUGUAGGUCAAGGAUCUUGAGUGUUAUAAAUGUUAAAGUGUAUGUGCAAACAAAUGUGAAAAGGUUCUAAGGUUUUCACCUGUACUCAAGUUAAGUACUGGAUUUUUGGUCUUAGCAUUUAAUUAAGAAUAUUUUGAGAUUUGCUAUAUGCAUUUUUUUAUUGUAAAAUUUAUUAUAUAAUAGAAAACUUAUAAUUCUGAAUCCGAUUUUUGGAACUGGGGACUAAAUCGUUUUUACCUUUUUGUGUCACUUAACUAUUUUCUGUACUGUAAUUGCAUUAUACAGUGAUUUUUAAGUUGCUGUGGUAAAUCUGCAGAUCUGACUAUAAUCACAGUUGUAUUGAAUUUGACAUCUUACGGCACACUACAAUGUCACUUUGUUGAAACUCGGAAAGUUGUUUCCAAUGUUUAAAUUUUGGUCAUGCACUUUAAGCAUUUAAUAUUGCCUUAUGCAGUGUUGUUCCCUGUAGAAACUUUGCCUUGUCAAGGCUCACCGUAAA
Molecule: long non-coding RNA, 1959 nt
Organism: Astatotilapia calliptera (eastern happy)
Lineage: Eukaryota; Metazoa; Chordata; Actinopteri; Cichliformes; Cichlidae
Source: Ensembl